UAUGAUGUGAUCCAAAACUCUUUUAUAAGAAUAAACAUACAUAAAAUAUUCAGUGUAGCAAUUAUACAGAACAUAAAUGUGGCAAAUGUUUUACAGGCAAGAAAUAUGACACACAGAUGCUGCAGAAGAGGCAACCAUCACUGAAAGCCACAUGAAAAGCAUGUUCAUCUUAAGGACAGCAGGACUUGGAUUGAGGAGUUGCCAGUUGAAAGUAUGAAAGAUGGAGGCAGCUAACUUAUUCAAGGUAACUAUGAAGCUGGAACUGUGUGUGUCCUUAAAACAUUAAUGUUCAAGGAGACUGACAUUCUGAUCAAGAGGCAGUGUGCAUAAGGGAUACUUGGCAGUUGGAUGCCAGGAACAGACCUGUGCAAGCUGUGUCAGACUGUGGCACAUUUGCAGCUGGUGAGCUGGACAAGUCAUGGAAGCGGCCACUCAUAAGCUGGGCUAGUGCCAAGUUUGACAUCUUCAAUGUAAAGCUAUAAAUACACCGCAGGUGUACAUUGGCUCUGUGUGCAGCCUAAAUAACAAUGUGAUUUGAGGUGA
Long non-coding RNA from Podarcis raffonei (Aeolian wall lizard), 543 nucleotides. RefSeq lists it as uncharacterized. The record is from RefSeq and is a predicted model, not a curated record. NCBI's taxonomy places the organism in Eukaryota, Metazoa, Chordata, Lepidosauria, Squamata, Lacertidae. The transcript is spliced from 2 exons.